AUUGAACGCUGGCGGCAUGCUUUACACAUGCAAGUCGAACGGCAGCGCGGGCUUCGGCCUGGCGGCGCGUGGCGAACGGGUGAGUAAUGCAUCGGAACGUGCCCAGUAGUGGGGGAUAGCCCGGCGAAAGCCGGAUUAAUACCGCAUACGACCUGAGGGUGAAAGAGGGGGACCGAAAGGCCUCGCGCUCUUGGAGCGGCCGAUGUCGGAUUAGCUAGUUGGUGGGGUAAAGGCUUACCAAGGCGACGAUCCGUAGCUGGUCUGAGAGGACGACCAGCCACACUGGGACUGAGACACGGCCCAGACCCCUACGGGAGGCAGCAGUGGGGAAUUUUGGACAAUGGGGGCAACCCUGAUCCAGCCAUGCCGCGUGCGGGAAGAAGGCCUUCGGGUUGUAAAGCGCUUUUGUUCGGGAAGAAAUCCUUUGGGCUAAUACCGCGGGGGGAUGACGGUACCGGAAGAAUAAGCACCGGCUAACUACGUG
RNAcentral lists this ribosomal RNA (484 nucleotides) under uncultured bacterium. RNAcentral describes it as "partial 16S ribosomal RNA". It matches the Rfam family "Bacterial small subunit ribosomal RNA", at positions 28 to 507 of the family's 1533-position model. The record is from RNAcentral.